Molecule: ribosomal RNA, 99 nt
Filed under: uncultured bacterium
Lineage: Bacteria
Description: partial 16S ribosomal RNA
Rfam family: Bacterial small subunit ribosomal RNA
Source: RNAcentral
UACACACGCCCGUCACACCAUGGGAGUUGGUUUCACCCGAAGGCGCUACGCUAACCCGCAAGGGAGGCAGGCGACCACGGUGGGAUCAGCGACUGGGUG